Hemibagrus wyckioides is the source of this 5255-nucleotide long non-coding RNA. RefSeq lists it as uncharacterized. The transcript is spliced from 3 exons. The record is from RefSeq and is a predicted model, not a curated record. Lineage: Eukaryota; Metazoa; Chordata; Actinopteri; Siluriformes; Bagridae.
AGCAGUUGCUCCCAUUUGGCUGGAAUUAUUGUACCUGUCAGGUGAAGGCCAUCUAGAUCAUCUAAAAUAAUAAAAAUAUGUUAGGUGAAGAAUUUAAAGACCCUCAAUCUCCAAAGAGAGCCUUGAACCACGGCACCAAGAAGGCCAGAAAGAAAGAUAAUAAAGUUAAGUCUGUCAGUGUCAUGAAAGAAAGUGACAAAGAUAAAAUAAACCUUCAGACACAUUACUAUGGAAAUUCUUGGCCAGAAAGGCCUGCUAGAUUUGUGUCUAAGGACUUUAGGAAACUCCACACUGAUGAUAUUGAGGCUUUAGCUUGGAGUAUUUUUUAUAAUCUUAGAGUAUUUCAGAAACUUAGGCAUCCACAUAAUUACAAAAUAUUCAGAUUCAUUAUAUAUGAUUUACAAUUAAAAUGGGAGGUUAAAGUAAAAAAAAAAAAAAAAAAGUGAAAAAUUUGAAUUAUUUUCCUCUGAGGAUGAUAUUAAUAAUAUUUUAGAAAACUGUUAUACACUUCAGUGUAGUGAAGGCAUCCUGAAUGUGAUCAUACACUACGCAAAUGUUGGUGAAAAGGAUCCUGGAUUUAUAAAGUGUAUCCUAAGAAGCUUUAUGUAUUUCUUGUAGGGAAACAGCUCAAUGGAACAGAAAAUGCAGAUAAAAUUGAAUCAGUUAUUAAAAGUCAGAAGAAGAAGCACAGUUACACAGACAUUCGAGAAGGAAUCAGGAACUGUAAAGAACAUCAUGAAGAUCUGUAUGAUCUGUAUUCUGAGGACGCUCAGUACACCAGAGAGACUUUACAGGGCGUCUAUACACACGGACGUUUAAAGCCCAAGAGAGAAGCUUGGUUCACUACAUACUUUUUAGCAACAGUGAUUUCAGAGUCUAUAAGAAACUAUAGGUCCUUUAUCACCACACUAAUGGCUUUAGACCUGAUUCUCAGACCAAAUCCUGAAAGAGCUGAACAGGAGAUUAUUUUAGAGAAGCUUCCGAUGGCGAGAGGGGGAAGCUGGGUCAAUUCAGAUAAACGGGGAUUUUAUGGGGCAAGUACUUUAGUACGUAAGAAAAAAACAAAAUUAAAAAGCUAAUAGAGGAUGAGGAAGAAAUCUGUAAAAAAUGGCUUUCACUCAGAAAUAAAUCACAGAUUGACAGAGAAAUGAUGAAAUGUCUCCUCGAGCUGGUAUACAGUAAACACAGACUGCGUAUCAAUUCCUCACUUCUAGAAAACUUUAUAAAAAAACUACAUUCAUUUUAAAAAGGAAAUAAAUUCUUUAAUUUCCCCUGAUUUACUGAGGGUCACAUGGUAGAGCAAUUUCUCUGCAAAAUAUGAAUUUAAGUUGCUGUUUAUCAUCUUUAACCAUUCCUACCACAACUAUAUUAAUCACUCGUUACUGCCAUGUUUCACGACUCAGAUCCUUCUCGACAUCAGCCAUGUACAAUUAUUUAUCAGAAAACAUUCAGAAUCUAGAUGUGUAUCUAUACGAUUAUGAUUUGGACUGGUGUAGGGAUGAGAGCCAUCAGUCCAGCUCUUUCUACAGCCAACAUCUCUAUAGAUCCCGAUAUUCUGUCCUCACUAAACAUGUGGAUUCUGUUUCACCAACACUUCAGUACAGAUCCUAUAGACUUAAGCUGCUUUGGAAGAAGAGCAGUACACUUCACUUUACAAACCUGCUCAUGACUAAAACAUUAAUCUGUUUCUAUCUAAAUCCAUUCUUCCUUGAAUUUAUUCCACUGAAAGGCCAUGUUUAUAGAGACACUGUAAAGCAGCACUGUUUAAUUCUAUACAACAGCUGGAGAAAAGAGCAAUUACACAAUUACACAAUUCCUCUUUCUGUGUUUAACUCCAGCAAUUCCACUCUAGCAAGACAAUUACACAGAACCCAUCUGCUGUCUGACCGUCAGUAGCUAAAUAAUUCCAACCUCAAGUCAAGUCAGGAAGCUUUUAUUGUAAUUUUAACCAGAUAUAGCUGACACACUACACAGUGAAAUGUGUGAACCUAUACUGAAAUACAAAUUAAUUAGAGACAGUGUCAAAAUCUAAAUAAUUCCAAACUGUCCAAAACCAGUUUACAGAAGCUCUCCCAAUUCAGCUUGCAUUUAGAAGGAUGUACUGUUACUACUAGGUCAACAGUGAAAGACCCAGAGGUGGACAAAGUACGCAACUUCCUUACUUGAAUAAAAGUACAGAUACUACUGGUCAAACAUUACUCCAUUACAAGUAAAAGUUGUAAAGACAGAUUUUUACUUAAGUAAAAGUACAGAAGCAUAUAAUAUAUAAUUUAUAUAAGUUAUAUAUAUUUCCACAUUUCAUUUACACCGUUUUAAUAUGCAUCCUCCCUCCUGAGUACAAUGCAUUGUGGGCAAUAUUACCCGUUAGAGUGUGCAUCGUUCUGCACUUCGAAUUUCUACAGGAAGUAGUAGACCAUCCGGGAUUUUUUUGGAAUACUCUUUUCAGCAUACUACCAUUUGGGGCAUACUAAUUCUAUUUUCGAAUACUAUUUAGGACACAUAGUAUGAGAAUUUGGAUGCCACAUACGUUUUUGAGUGAUAACUAACAUCAUUACCAAUACGAUGGUGGCAACUUGGCAAACACAUAAAAAAAAAAACCCAUUUGCCUUACCAUACAUACUUCAUGGCUCAGGCAAUAUCCAUUUCAAGCUUUUAGGAGAAAGUAAAAGUAUAUAUACAAUAUCUCACAGAAGUGAGUGCACCCCUGACAUUUUUGUAAAUAUUUUAUUAUAUCUUUUCAUGUGACAGCACUGAAGAAAUGCCCCUCUGCUCCAAUGUACAGUAGUGAGUGUCCAGCCUGUAUAACAGUGUAAAUUUACUGUCCCUUCAAAAUAACUCAACACACAGACAUUAAUGUCUAAACCGCUGGCAACAAAAGUGACUCCACCCCUAAGAGGAAAUGUCCAAAUUGGGCCCAAAGUGUCAAUAUUUUGUGUGGCCAUAAUUAUUUUCCAGCACUGCCUUAACCCUCUUAGGCAUGGAGUUCACCAGAGCUUCACAGGUUGCCACUGGAGUCCUCUUCCACUCCUCCAUGAUGACAUCACAGAGCUGGUGGAUGUUAGAGACCUUGUGCUCCCCCACCUUAGGGUUUAGGUCUGGAAACAUGCUUGGCCAGUCAUCACCUUUAUUUAUUAAAACGAAAAGAAUCUUUACUCUUUUCUAAAAACUGGAACAUACUGUCUAAGUAUGGCCAUGGAUGCCUGCACUGCGCCGAUGAUCUGUCUUUGUUCAUUUUGCCACCAAUUGAUCAGAGUUUAAAAAAUGACAGAAAACCACUGAACUUCACGACACGUGACACAAGAGUGAAAAAAAAUCAUCCUCUGAUUAACGUAACUAUUUUCUACUCAAUAACUUUGACAGAAAUGUAGUGGAGUAAAAAGUACAAUAUUUGUCUUUUAAAUGGAGUGAAGUUAAAGUAACAAGUUUCCAGAAAAAAUAAUACUCAAGUAAAGUACAGUACUCAAAUAAAUGUACUUCUUUACUGUCCACCUCUGGAAAGAUCUGGGCAUAAUAUUAGACAGCAACUUGUCCUCAUAUUUCCAAUAUUACUAAAACAGCCUUCUUCCACCUUAGAAAUAUUGCUAAGCUAAGAAACAUCUUAUCUGUAUCUGAUACAGAAAAGCUAGUUCAUUGGUUGUCCUGCAUCCUCAAUAAACAUGCUACAGUUAGUCCAGAAUGUAGCCACCAGAGUUCUUACCAAUUUUAUCAUCCCUACACUGGCUACCUUUUAAGUUUCAGGUUGAUUUCAAACUACUUGCUACUCACCUACAAGGCUAUAAAUGGUUUCUUAUGAGACUUUACACCAAUCAGCCAUAACAUUAUGAGCAGUGUGAGGUGAAGUGAAUAAGACUGAGUAUCUCCUCAUCAUGGCACCUGUUAGUGGGGGGGAUAUAUUAGGCAGCAAGUCAACAUUUUGUCCUCAAAGUUGAUGUUAGAAGCAGGAAAAAUGGACAAGCGUAAGGAUUUGAGCGAGUUUGACUAAAUUGUGGCCAAAUUGUGAUGGCUAGACCACUGGAUCAGAGCAUCUCCAAAACUGCAGCUCUUGUGGGGUGUUCCCGGUCUGCAGUGGUCAGUAUCUAUCAAAAGUGCUCCAAGGAAGGAACAGUGGUGAAGCGGUGACAGGGUCAUGGACGGUCAAGGCUCAUUGAUGCACGUGGGGAGAGAAGGCUGGCCCGUGUGAUCCGAUCCAACAGACGAGCUACUGUUGAUCAAACUGCUGAAGAAGUUAAUGCUGGUUCUGAUAGAAAGGGGUCAGAACACACAGUGCAGGACGGGUCAGGGCUGUUUUGGGAACAUAAGGAGGACCAACACAAUAUUAGGCAGGUGGUCAUAAUGUUAUGCAUGGUCAGUGUAUCUACCCAGUCUUCUACCAUACUACCAUCCUUUAUGCUUUUUAAGAUCACAAAACUAUGGACUUCUGUUAGUUUGAAGAAAAUCAAAGUCAAUUAAAGGGGUUAAAGUUUUCGUAUUCAGCUCAUAAACGCUAGAUUCCUAAAAGCUAAUUUCUCUCCACUUGCUUCUCUUUUUCUAUCCAUCUUGAGGCAUCCUGUGCCAGCUCCAGUUGUGUUCCAAUUCAGAAAGAGAAGAAAGAGAAGAUGCCAACCCCAUGUGGACUUGUGGAUAACAAAUAACAUGCUGAACAUUUGAAGACUUCAGAAUGGAGGAGUUAGUGUUAUAUCUCAAUGAACUCAUAUGUUUUACUAAUCUAUGAGUUGCUCAGGAGCUUCUGGUUACACAUUUCUGACUGACUGUAUACAGCUGUAGAAACAACAUUAUUUUUAAUCACAAUUUUUAGUGUCACCCAAAUGAGGAUGGGUUCCCUUCUGAGCCUGGUUCCUCUCAAGGUUUCUUCCUCUUAUCAUCUCAGGGAGUUUUUCCUUGCCACCGUCGCCACAGGCUUCUCAUUAGGGAUAAAUACAUUUAAAUAUGUCUACUAUUAAUUCUUUUUAAAAAAAAAUUAUAUAUUUUUACAGGAGAUCAGCAGCUUCUGAGAAACUCAAAUCAACAUCCAUGUCACAGUAACAGUCUCAGAGAUCAGACUUUUCUUCAGUCUGAUGUUUGAUGUGAACAGUAACUGAAGCUCUUGAGUUUAGACACUGAGCUGCUGCUGUGUGAUUAGAGGCUGAUUAGAGACCUUCAUGAAUGUCCAAUAAUAAAGUAAAUGUAUUUUGUACAUGAGGGAAUAACAGUUUAUAGUUGCUGUAACUUAAGAACAAGAUUAAAUUUGUUUCAUCAAUGUGUCACAACAGUGAAAG